RNAcentral lists this ribosomal RNA (497 nucleotides) under uncultured bacterium. Its description in RNAcentral is "partial 16S ribosomal RNA". It matches the Rfam family "Bacterial small subunit ribosomal RNA", at positions 28 to 507 of the family's 1533-position model. The record is from RNAcentral.
GAUGAACGCUGGCGGCGUGCCUAAUACAUGCAAGUCGAGCGAACGGACGAGAAGCUUGCUUCUCUGAUGUUAGCGGCGGACGGGUGAGUAACACGUGGAUAACCUACCUAUAAGACUGGGAUAACUUCGGGAAACCGGAGCUAAUACCGGAUGAUAUUUUGAACCGCAUGGUUCAAAAGUGAAAGACGGUCUUGCUGUCACUUAUAGAUGGAUCCGCGCUGCAUUAGCUAGUUGGUAAGGUAACGGCUUACCAAGGCAACGAUGCAUAGCCGACCUGAGAGAGUGAUCGGCCACACUGGAACUGAGGCACGGUCCAGACUCCUACGGGAGGCAGCAGUAGGGAAUCUUCCGCAAUGGGCGAAAGCCUGACGGAGCAACGCCGCGGGAGUGAUGAAGGUCUUCGGAUCGUAAAACUCUGUUAUUAGGGAAAAACAUAUGUGUAAGUAACUGUGCACAUCUUGACGGUACCUAAUCAGAAAGCCACGGCUAACUACGUG